GAUGCAAUAAUCUCGCAAGAGUCGCGAUUUUGGCAAUUUUUUUUUUCAUAAUUUGUACUGGAAUCCUUGAAAAAUAUUUGCGGAUUUCAAUUCACACGAUUAUGAGAAACUCUUUGGGAAACAUUUUUCCCUUGGUCCUGAAAGGGUUAAUGUAAGUCAGCCGCUGGAAUUGUGAUCAGGAUUUGAAGUCAAAAUCUAAUGCGAAGACGACACCAAAGAGCAUAUCGGGUUUCCAGCCAACAGUCGGGUCUACGGAACCGUAACGAGCCAGCAGCAUUCACCGUUACACGAACAGCGGAUAGAGUCCACUGCGCUAUGAAGCGCUAUGCGCGCAGUGAGAGAAUGCAGAGUAGUUUUGGUGAAGAACUGCAUAAACUACCAAUUAGUUCAUGCUUUGUUUUAAUUAAGUAAUGAAAGGAAGAGCACACACUAUUACGUGUUUUCCGACGAUUAUAAAGUAAGUUCAUAAUAAGAGUUCUCGUAGCCGACCACUAAAUGUAAUGAAAUGAUUAAAACCAAAUAAGAAAAUCA
Molecule: long non-coding RNA, 531 nt
Organism: Rhagoletis pomonella (apple maggot)
Lineage: Eukaryota; Metazoa; Arthropoda; Insecta; Diptera; Tephritidae
Exons: 2
Source: RefSeq, a predicted model, not a curated record